CUCUCCUCCCGGGUCUGCGCGGACGCGGCCUCCUUACCUCAUUUGUCCUCGCCCCUCCCCGUCCCUCUACGCGUUUUGGUCCCUGUUUGGUGCUUUCUGUUUGCAGCUACGGCAAUCUGGGCAUAGGAACCAAUCAGAAACAAUCGCUUCAGCAAUCAAGACCAUUGUUCAUCAUGGAGGAACCCAUGGAUACCUCUGAGCCUCUAUCUGCAUUACCAUUCACUGGGCAGCAGUCUUUUGAGCCAAGUGGCAAAUUUGGACAGUAUCCAUCGAUGCAGAUGAACCACAUCCAGGCACUGGGGAAGUGGAGGACAUAGAACAGCUCAAUCAGUGUUUGAUCCAACACUUCCAUCUCAUUAAGACAAGUUUGAUUUUUCUUUGCUUUUUAUUUCAUGGAAUACAUGAGAAUCUCUUAACUGUUGGAGUUUCCAAGGAGGCAUACCUCAUGACUUCAGUUAAUGGAAAGAACAAAACUAAAAUGCUGUAUGGCCAAAGCCACAAAGGGAAGGAUCCACAAUUUACAUUCUUGGAGCUAUCAUCUGUACUGUACUGUUGUGAUCUACUGAUUGGCAUUGGCAUAGUAGUAGGGGUCAAGUGAC
RNAcentral lists this long non-coding RNA (599 nucleotides) under Homo sapiens (human). RNAcentral's name for it is "non-protein coding lnc-ZCCHC7-2:19". The record is from RNAcentral. Lineage: Eukaryota; Metazoa; Chordata; Mammalia; Primates; Hominidae.